UACUAUUGUUUGUCAUUAUUGUGCAGAGGCAAUAAUGGCGAUGGAGAUCACUCAGUUUCUACUUGCUGCCCAGUCAGCCAAACUUGCAUAGUUUUUAUUGUCUAUGUUUUUGGGCUAGCCAACAAUGAUAAUCUUUCUAAUCCUGUCGUAUCUUUUAAAAAUGAUAAGGUUUUUGGGAAGCUAGCGUAUCUUUUAAAAAUGCUUGUGCUUCAAUUCAUAGUAUUUCCGAAUUAACUUUGUAAUAUUG
Molecule: long non-coding RNA, 247 nt
Filed under: Brassica napus (rape)
Lineage: Eukaryota; Viridiplantae; Streptophyta; Magnoliopsida; Brassicales; Brassicaceae
Description: long non-coding RNA (BNAP_LNC015687)
Source: RNAcentral